CCCAUCACCUCGGGGUGCCCUUUGGGCUGAGAUGUGCGAAACGCAUGAACCCGUUGAACCUGAACCGGUUAAGACCGGCGGAGGGAAGGGACAGGGCGCAUCG
Molecule: non-coding RNA, 103 nt
Filed under: Paracoccaceae bacterium
Lineage: Bacteria; Pseudomonadati; Pseudomonadota; Alphaproteobacteria; Rhodobacterales; Paracoccaceae
Description: Rhodobacteraceae bacterium TPP sequence
Rfam family: TPP riboswitch aptamer (THI element)
About the family: Vitamin B(1) in its active form thiamin pyrophosphate (TPP) is an essential coenzyme that is synthesised by coupling of pyrimidine and thiazole moieties in bacteria.
Source: RNAcentral